GACGUAGGGCGCGAGCGUUGUCCGGAUUUAUUGGGCGUAAAGAGCUCGUAGGCGGCUUGUCGCGUCGACUGUGAAAACCCGCGGCUUAACUGCGGGCUUGCAGUUGAUACGGGCAGGCUAGAGUUCGGUAGGGGAGACUGGAAUUCCUGGUGUAGCGGUGAAAUGCGCAGAUAUCAGGAGGAACACCGGUGGCGAAGGCGGAUCUCUGGGCCUGUCCUGACGCUCAGGCGCGAAAGCUAGGGGAGCAAACAGG
Molecule: ribosomal RNA, 253 nt
Filed under: uncultured bacterium
Lineage: Bacteria
Description: partial 16S ribosomal RNA
Rfam family: Bacterial small subunit ribosomal RNA
Source: RNAcentral